AGCGAACGCUGGCGGCAGGCUUAAUACAUGCAAGUCGAGCGCCUGUAGCAAUACAGGAGCGGCAGACGGGAGAGUAACACGUGGGAACGUGCCCUUUGGUUCGGAACAACACAGGGAAACUUGUGCUAAUACCGGAUAAGCCCUUACGGGGAAAGAUUUAUCGCCAAAGGAUCGGCCCGCGUCUGAUUAGCUAGUUGGUGGGGUAAUGGCCCACCAAGGCGACGAUCAGUAGCUGGUCUGAGAGGAUGAUCAGCCUCAUUGGGACUGAGACACGGCCCAAACUCCUACGGGAGGCAGCAGUAGGGAAUAUUGGACAAUGGGCGCAAGCCUGAUCCAGCCAUGCCGCGUGAGUGAUGAAGGCCUUAGGGUUGUAAAGCUCUUUCGGCGGGGAAGAUAAUGACGGUACCCGCAUAAGAACGCCCCGGCUAACUUCGUGCCAGCAGCCGCGGU
This 450-nucleotide ribosomal RNA is filed under the name uncultured bacterium. RNAcentral's name for it is "bacterial SSU rRNA". It matches the Rfam family "Bacterial small subunit ribosomal RNA", at positions 29 to 521 of the family's 1533-position model. The record is from RNAcentral.